CCCUGUUAUUACCAAACACGCUGAGAGGGUUCGAGAGAGGAAACCGCCGCCUGGUAGAUCGACGGCGGCGCCCUCGCAGAUCCACCACGCCGGCAUAGGUCGUAUGGUCGCCGCCUCCCCUUCCCUUCUUCCGCUGCAGCCAUCCCUUCCCCUCCUCCGGUGCUACCCCUUCCCGUUCUCUCCGGCCCUGCUCGCCGUGGCCAGAUCGCAUCUGAAGUCAACGGCGGCAGUCCACUCCGGCGCCGGCCCUUCCUUUCCUCUCCAGCCGUGCGGUGGCCCACUGCCGGUGCACAUCUCCUCUCCCUCAGACCACCUCCUGGGCCGCCCCUUCUUCUGUGGGUCCAGCCAACCCCUUCUUCAUCCAUGAUUCUUCCCUAUCUCAAGCAGCCUGCUCUGUUUCCUUUUAUUCCCAGCCCUUUUGUCAAUGAUUUGCUGAGCACUGAUGUAUCCUCUUGUUGCAGGUUGGAUUAAAAGUUGGAAGCCAUCUAGGCCGAGCUAAGCUGCAUCAUGUCACAAAUGGAUUUGAUUGCUUCCAUCACCGAAGAGAACAAAAGAAGAAAAAGGAAAAGGAUCAUCUUGACAGCGAUGUAUGUUUAGUCAGUUUGUCUUGGCCUAGCUUAUCUUAGUACGCAGAGAGUACCGAAGAGUUUGCGAUGCUUUAGUGACGACGAGCUUCGAUAUGUUCAUAGGAAGUACUUGCCGAAAGAAAUGUACAAUGGGUCAGAAGUAACUUGCUAUGAUGAGUUGCGCUUAACCAAAAUGAAUUUUCAUGAUC
Aegilops tauschii subsp. strangulata is the source of this 775-nucleotide long non-coding RNA. RefSeq lists it as uncharacterized. The record is from RefSeq and is a predicted model, not a curated record. Lineage: Eukaryota; Viridiplantae; Streptophyta; Magnoliopsida; Poales; Poaceae.